RNAcentral lists this ribosomal RNA (939 nucleotides) under uncultured bacterium. RNAcentral's name for it is "bacterial SSU rRNA". It matches the Rfam family "Bacterial small subunit ribosomal RNA", at positions 522 to 1472 of the family's 1533-position model. The record is from RNAcentral.
AAUACGAAGGGACCUAGCGUAGUUCGGAAUUACUGGGCUUAAAGAGUUCGUAGGUGGUUAAAAAAGUUGGUGGUGAAAUCCCAGAGCUUAACUCUGGAACUGCCAUCAAAACUUUUUAGCUAGAGUAUGAUAGAGGAAAGCAGAAUUUCUAGUGUAGAGGUGAAAUUCGUAGAUAUUAGAAAGAAUACCAAUUGCGAAGGCAGCUUUCUGGAUCAUUACUGACACUGAGGAACGAAAGCAUGGGUAGCGAAGAGGAUUAGAUACCCUCGUAGUCCAUGCCAUAAACGAUGUGUGUUAGACGUUGGAAAUUUAUUUUCAGUGUCGCAGCGAAAGCAGUAAACACACCGCCUGGGGAGUACGACCGCAAGGUUAAAACUCAAAUGAAUUGACGGGGACCCGCACAAGUAGUGGAGCAUGUGGUUUAAUUCGAAGAUACGUGCAGAACCUUACCAACACUUGACAUGUUCGUCGCGACUCUAAGAGAUUAGAGUUUUCGGUUCGGCCGGACGAAACACAGGUGCUGCAUGGCUGUCGUCAGCUCGUGUCGUGAGAUGUUGGGUUAAGUCCCGCAACGAGCGCAACCCUCACUUUUAGUUGCCAUCAUUUAGUUGGGCACUCUGAAAGAACUGCCAGUGAUAAGCUGGAGGAAGGUGGGGAUGACGUCAAGUCCUCAUGGCCCUUACGUGUUGGGCUACACACGUGCUACAAUGGCAUCUACAAUAGGAAGCAAGAUGGCGACGUCAAGCAAAUCCUAAAAAGAUGCCUCAGUUCGGAUUGUACUCUGCAACUCGAGUACAUGAAGCUGGAAUUACUAGUAAUCGCGGAUCAGCGCGCCGCGGUGAAUACGUUCCCGGGUCUUGUACACACCGCCCGUCACACCAUGGGAGUUGGUUCUACCUUAAGGCAAGGUUUAAAACCCUUGACCACGGUAUAGUCAGC